GCAGCCUGAUGCAGCAACGCCGCGUGAGGGACGACGGCCUUCGGGUUGUAAACCUCUUUUAGUAGGGAAGAAGCGAAAGUGACGGUACCUGCAGAAAAAGCACCGGCUAACUACGUGCCAGCAGCCGCGGUAAUACGUAGGGUGCAAGCGUUGUCCGGAAUUAUUGGGCGUAAAGAGCUCGUAGGCGGUUUGUCGCGUCUGCUGUGAAAACUGGAGGCUCAACCUCCAGCCUGCAGUGGGUACGGGCAAACUAGAGUGCGGUAGGGGAGAUUGGAAUUCCUGGUGUAGCGGUGGAAUGCGCAGAUAUCAGGAGGAACACCGAUGGCGAAGGCAGAUCUCUGGGCCGUAACUGACGCUGAGGAGCGAAAGCGUGGGGAGCGAACAGGAUUAGAUACCCUGGUAGUCCACGCCGUAAACGUUGGGAACUAGAUGUGGGGGCCAUUCCACGGCUUCCGUGUCGCAGCUAACGCAUUAAGUUCCCCGCCUGGGGAGUACGGCCGCAAGGCUAAAACUCAAAGGAAUUGACGGGGGCCCGCACAAGCGGCGGAGCAUGCGGAUUAAUUCGAUGCAACGCGAAGAACCUUACCAAGGCUUGACAUAUACGAGAACGCUGCAGAAAUGUAGAACUCUUUGGA
RNAcentral lists this ribosomal RNA (635 nucleotides) under Leifsonia sp. Ri2Ps_4862. Its description in RNAcentral is "bacterial SSU rRNA". It matches the Rfam family "Bacterial small subunit ribosomal RNA", at positions 378 to 1022 of the family's 1533-position model. The record is from RNAcentral. Lineage: Bacteria; Bacillati; Actinomycetota; Actinomycetes; Micrococcales; Microbacteriaceae.